RNAcentral lists this ribosomal RNA (305 nucleotides) under uncultured bacterium. Its description in RNAcentral is "bacterial SSU rRNA". It matches the Rfam family "Bacterial small subunit ribosomal RNA", at positions 335 to 654 of the family's 1533-position model. The record is from RNAcentral.
UAGCCUACGGGGGGCAGCAGUGGGGAAUAUUGGGCAAUGGGCGCAAGCCUGACCCAGCAACGCCGCGUGAAGGAAGAAGGCUUUCGGGUUGUAAACUUCUUUUGUCAGGGACGAAGCAAGUGACGGUACCUGACGAAUAAGCCACGGCUAACUACGUGCCAGCAGCCGCGGUAAUACGUAGGGAGCAAGCGUUAUCCGGAUUUAUUGGGUGUAAAGGGUGCGUAGACGGGAAAUUAAGUUAGUUGUGAAAUCCCUCGGCUCAACUGAGGAACUGCAACUAAAACUGGUUUUCUUGAGUGUUGGAG